Molecule: ribosomal RNA, 558 nt
Filed under: Scinax aff. hayii MLL-2019
Lineage: Eukaryota; Metazoa; Chordata; Amphibia; Anura; Hylidae
Description: partial large subunit ribosomal RNA
Rfam family: Bacterial large subunit ribosomal RNA
Source: RNAcentral
CGCCUCUUGACUAAAAAUAAGAGGUCCAGCCUGCCCAGUGACAAAUGUUCAACGGCCGCGGUAUCCUAACCGUGCGAAGGUAGCGUAAUCACUUGUUCUUUAAAUGGGGACUAGUAUGAAUGGCAUCACGAGGGUUAUACUGUCUCCUCUCUCUAAUCAGUGAAACUAAUCCCCCCGUGAAGAAGCGGGGAUAAGUAUAUAAGACGAGAAGACCCUAUGGAGCUUUAAAUUUCUCUCUCAGGCACUAAACUUUCAUCUUAAGUCACUGACCCUUAUUACAACUACCACGGCGCUAUGAAGAUGAAUUUUAGGUUGGGGUGACCGCGGAGUACAAAAAAACCUCCACGCCGAACAGGCCUCUUAACCCUUGAGCAAAGGGCCACAACCCAAAGCACUAAAAAACUAACACCCAUUGACCCAAUUUUAAAUGAUCAACGAACCAAGUUACCCUAGGGAUAACAGCGCAAUCUGCUUCAAGAGUUCCUAUCGACAAGCAGGUUUACGACCUCGAUGUUGGAUCAGGGUAUCCCAGUGGUGCAGCCGCUACUAAAGGUUCGU